AUUGAGCUACAAGGUUCUAGACUAAGUGUUUUGUAUACAUAUUAGCUCCAUAUUACCUCCAUGACCUCUUUCCCCAUGAAGCCUUCCCUGAGCCUCAGUAUCCACUCUUUCCUGUACCAUGAAUCCAUUUUUCUUUUACUUUUUCUUUUCUUUCUCUCCCUCUUUUUCUUUCUUUCUUUCUCUCUAUCUCUUUUUUUGUUUGUUUGUUUUUUUGAGACAGGGUCUCACUCUGGCACCCAGGCUGGAGUGCCGUGGCGUGAUCAUGGUUCACUGCAGCCUUGACCUCACAGGCUCACACCAUCCUCCUGCAUUAGCCUCCCAAGUAGCUUGGACCACAGGCAUGCACCACCAUGCCCAGAUAAUUUUUUUUUAAAUUUUUUGUAGAGAUGGGGUCUCACUAUGUUGCCCAAACUGGUCUUGAAUUCCUGGGCUCAAGUGAUUCUCCCACCUCAGCCUCCCAAAGUGCUGGGAUUACAAGUGUGAGCUAUUGCACCCAUCCCAUGUUUUCAAUAAAGAUGGUGCUAUUUAAAACUAUGGCAUGUCACGUGUAUAUUAUUUUAUUUCACCAUGUGUUUAAGUGAGAUAACCAGGUGUCAAGAAAGCUUCAAUAUUUGCUUAGUUAAAUAGCCAAUGUGACGGAGAAGAGGUAACCUCUUUUCUUUUUUUUUCUUAUGAUUUGCUUUGGCUAUUACUUUUGAAACAUACAUGUUAUAUUCCCAAUUAGAUCUCGUUACAUACUUCACAGGCUGUCCAAAAAUUUCCAUACUUCUAACAAGAACUUUGGUUGACUGAGUUUAUAUAGUUUUUCUGUUCUUUGCCCUAUUUCUUUCAAGGCCUUUGAGUCAGAAGCAUUCAGCACCACGGUGUACGAUAGCCACCAUUUGCUUUGCCCUUUUAACUUUUGGGGGUUACUUUUGACCAUAGUCCAACUGCUCAGAAGGGCUUUUUCACAAAUUGUUUACCAUGGCAGUUGCUACCCUAUUGGGGUUGGCAUUCAGAACCCAUAAGCAGAGAGCAAUGGUGUCAGUAUAACAAAUAAUGUGUACAAUUUUUUAAAAUGCUGAAUUUACCAAAUCCCCAUAUUAUGUUUUCACACUGCUCUUUCAGAAACUGUGCUAAUACAAUACUCCUAUAAACUGAUCUUGGUCCUGGCAGGCCCAAUUGGAACUAAUGGGGCCUGACAGUUCUUCAGUUAAAAAUUAUACAUGAGGGUCACUUUCCCUUAAAUUAUCUAUUGUAUGCCAGCUGUUCACAACUGCACUGCUUCACUUUCUUUGCAGUGCUAGAAAUGUCUAAUUUUCUCAUAAUAUCCAUAGCAACUAUUCUCAUGGAGGGCAUUGAAGUUAGUAACACUUCAAACACACCUUCACAGAAAUCAUGCUAGAGUUGCAGUUUCCCUUUUCUUUGAUUUUAUUUUUUUGGUUCUGAAAAAUGUUUAGAUGGCUCAUUUUGCCGGUUUCAUGCCAUAGCACUUGAGUUAUAUCAUAAUUUCUCAUUUGCUGCACAACUUUAUUCUAUUUUUAUGCUCCUAAAUGACGCAGCUCUAAGUACCCGUGAGUGGCACUUCCGUGCUGUGAGUGCUAUCAAAGGCAACCUCAGACAGAUAAAACUCCUGGUUUUUUGUUUUCUUUUGUUUUUGUUUUUGUUUUUGUUUUGUUUUUGCUGGAGAGGGGAGAAGCGGAGUCAUCACCAAGGGCCUUCUUUUGUUUUUCAGGCAUGUUAAAACUAUAUAACCAACAGAACCAUUUAAAAGGAAGAAAAACAUCACCCAAGUUCCGUGUCUGAAUGAAGGCUGUCUUCUCAAAUGCUCCUCAUUACUCCAGAGCAGUUAUAUUUGGAUUAUAAUUAAAACGAGGCUUCUUUUUUUUCUUUUAUUCUUCUUUUUUCCCAGAAUGCCUCAAGUGAAGUAUUCCUCCCAAAGUUAUUGCACCUCUUUACUAACAAGUGCUGGGAUUUUAAUAAGCCUAUCCCCCCCCUCCUUACCCUGUACAGAGGAAAGGAUGGCAAAGAGUGGCUGUGGUACAAAGUUUACGUAUUCAGUGAUAUUUUCUGCUUUUAUUGGUAAAAAUGGGGAGGUGGGUGGAGGAUUUCCUUUAAUUAUGAAAUAAGUGUGAUGUUAGUAGUUAUUUCUGUAACCUGGUGAAAAUGCUGCAUAUUUCAGGCCUAACUUUUAGCGUAUGUUACCACGUGUGUAAUGAAACGGUGAUCUGCGCUCUCCGAAUCUUUUGGCUGUUAAGGAGCACUCUGAUUAUAACUAGUUUCUGUAGAAACCUGGUCAUCCAGAUGCUUAUCAAGAAUGCAUUAUUAUUUUUUAAACCUUGAUGGAGAAGCCACAGACUGCAGCAGUUGGACAAGGUCACAUACCGAUGGAAGCGACAUGUCUUUCCUCUUUCCAUUGUGUGAUCGUCCAGGGCCUGGGGGCAUUAAUAUGCAACGGUUCUGUUUUUCUUUCAGAAGGACUUGUAAACUCUUUAAACAGAGGCACACAGUUGCAAUUGUUGCGGUACUGAGUGGGUGUAUAGAAGCUAGGGCUGCAGCCUUGUCCAGUUGCAGAUAGAAUAAAACUGACAAUGAUGCAAUGGGCCUGGCAUGUAGACAACUCUGUGGGAUGGAUGAAUGGUACGGCUCUCGCUGUCCCUCCGGUGGUGGUAGGCCCUGUAAUAGCUAGCGUAGGAAGGGUGGUGAAAAUUGAUAUGCACUAUUACUACAUGUAUAAAACUUAACACUGGGGCCAUUGCACAGGUGGGGGGUUCCUGUUUAUUGAUUUUUAUGAGUUUGGUAGAACAUGCGCUUAAUGCUUUUAUAUUCCAGGAGCUCUGGGAGGGCUCACCUUAGGUAAUAAACCUUUCCGUACUUUGCAAUCGCUCACAAUUUACAUGGGGACUCGCAUUAUCCAGUACAAAGCCCAGCAUCCCCCUUCUACUUGGUUUUAGGAGUGUGAU
RNAcentral lists this small RNA (2942 nucleotides) under Pongo abelii (Sumatran orangutan). Its description in RNAcentral is "retained intron". The record is from RNAcentral. Lineage: Eukaryota; Metazoa; Chordata; Mammalia; Primates; Hominidae.